AAAACAGAUAGCAUCAACGUUAGCUUUAACAAGAAUAACUUCGGGAAAAGUUGCAUAAGAACACGAUUUGGCACAUGCAUACAAUACUACUGCUGAAAUUAACAUCUAAAAUUCAACUGCAGUAACUUAAGAGGCAUCAGCAGAAGGUUGGGUCACUCCAGACUUCACUAACAACUUGCUCAGAGAGUCUGGUGAGCAAACCUGGUACUUCACUUCUCCAGAAGGCAGGAGGAAGACUUCGGCCAAUUCAAGCUUAUCAGAUGUAAGACUCGUGCUGUCCAUUGUCUUGCUGAGAACCUUUAGUGCCAGCUGAACUGCCUCUUCUCUUGUGAUAUCAUCCUUGUAAUCCUGCUUCAACAUUGACUGUGCUGCCUGGUUGUUUGCUCCAACAGCCGCUGCCUUCCAACCACCAUAGUUUCCACUAGGAUCACUCAUGUAAAGCUGGAAACCAAAAUUUUUGUCCCACCCUGCAAAGAGAAAUGAGACGCCAAAGGGACGGAGCCCGCCAAACUGUGUGUAACCUUGCUUGGUAUCACAAAGAGAUUGAACAAGCUGCUCAACAGGCAUUGGUUCCUGGUAUGCAUAAGUGUAGCACUGAGCUUGAACUCUAGCUGUAUUGAUAAGGAUGUUGGCAUCAGACAUUAUGCCAGCCACAGCACAUGCUACAUGGUCGUCAAUCUUGUACAUCUUUUCCGUCGAUGUUGAAGUCUGAAGGAGUUUAGAAGUGACCUUCUUUUCACCAACCAAGACAGCCCCAUCUUUUGACAAUAUCCCGAUUGCUGUUCCAGCAUUUCCAAUUGCCUCCAUGGCAUACUCUACUUGGUACAAACGACCUUCUGGGGAGAAGAUUGUUGUGCGGCUAUCAUAUCUUCGAGACAUUUUAUACCCACUAAGUAUGAAAGGAGCGCAGCCAAGUCAGCUAGAAACCAAUGAUACCUCUCAAGAUGAUUAAAGAUAUGUAACAGGAAUAGGAACAUUAAUAGAUGAUAGACCUAGUCCUUCACGCUACUAGUCAAUUCCUUCAUGCUACUAAUCAUUCAUGAGUGUGUAUAGAAAAUCAUGCUGUGCCCAUAAAUCUGAGAAUAAUGCUCACUGCAUUUGACUGCCCUAUCGUUAGCAGUUAAUGCUCUAUUUCUUUAUCAUCGGAACAAAAAACGGAUUUUAAUUAAGAUUAUUGCAAUGAUUCAGAGAAUUUAGCUUUUGAGUUAAUAUGUAUAAGCUAAAAUUCCUUCAUAUUUAAGUAAAUUUGCUUAACAAUGUCUGACGCGCAAUCCAAUAUCCUCUCAAAUACUGUUACUUGUUAUAUUACAAAAGGCAAAAGGAAAAUGAGUUCUAAUGUUUCAGAACUGACAAAAUACUAUGGUUAGUGUGCGUGAUCUAAUUGCAACAGAUUUACAAGCUAAAAUCCAAUACAAUGAUAUAUAAAACAAGAGAUCGAAAAAAGAAAUUACUAGGGUUAGUGUGUGUAAUCUAAUUGCAAUAGACUUUACAAGCUGAAUCUCAAUACAUCAAGUGUCAAAGAGACUAAAUGAAAAGGGGGAAAAAAAUCAAGUAUUUGAUGCUAAUCAGACCUUUUAAAUAAAGUAAAAAAGGAUGUCUCUUCAGUUCAGGUCUCCAUUAUAAUUCCGCAAUGUAAUUUCUCAGAAGAACGAAAGUUUUACAAAUUAAACAUCAUCAUCAGAGACAUCCAUAAUCAUAAUACAACAAGAGAUCGCUACGUAUCAAAGAAAUAAAUAAAGCCCCAGAAACACACCUGGUUUUGAGCUUCGAUUAAGUGAAAGAGCACAGGUCCGACGAGUGACGAGUAAACUGCAGUUUUAAAGUAAAUUUUCAAGUCGGCGCUCUCACCGCCACAAAACCCUAGCUUUCUGCCCUCUUUGUUUCUGGAUUUCAGGGUUAAAUCGUUAAUCACAAUACCGCUCGCAACUUGGUCCACAAGACAGAUGCUGAUAUCUUCAGGUAAAAAAAUGUCGUUAAUUUUACUUUAAUUGAUCAAAUUGCUCAUUGUACUCUUAUGUAUUUGAGUUUCUUUAAUUUUUUAUUUUUCCUUUUUAGACAAUAUUGUUUCUUUCUUGGAUCACAAUGAAUUCUAUGGACAUUAGACCAUGUUCUGGGCCGGGCUAAAACAGCAGCGACGUCGUAUAAGGAAAAUGUAUGUGGUGUUAAUUCUGAAUUGGGACACACAAUUUCGUCCAGUUUCAAAUCAGCCCAAAAAAAUAUUCUCACUUUUUUAAUAACAUAGCUCUGUAUAUUUCAGCAGUUACAGUAAUAAAAACUUCUUUUUGUCUUAAACGAGGAAAAAAAGCUGUAUAUUCUCUUUCUAUCCUUAUUAUUGAUGAUGAUAUGUAAUUUUACCUCUAUUUUUAACAACAAAAUAUCUCACAAAUUAAUAAAUUAGCUAUAUUGUCUAAUAAUUUUUUACAAAAUAUUAUGAAAUUUAUAAAUUUUCAUAUUAUACAGAAUUUAUAAAUAAGCAUAAAUAUUUAAAUAAAAUAAAAUAAAAAAAGGAUGUCUCUGCAGUUUAGAUCUCUAUUAUAAAUCCGCAAUGAGCAAUUUGAUAUAUUAAAGUGAACUUAAUGACAUUGAGAUAAAGGCGAUGCUUUUUUACGUGAAGAUUUAAAGAGAGAGUGUGAUUAAUGAUUUAACCCUAAAAUGUGAGCCAAUUAUUUGUUUUAAAUUUGUUAAAAUGUACUGUCUUUCUGACCAAGCUUUCUAUUCGAGUGAGAAAUGAAUUAGCAGCAACGUCGUAUAACCGUAGCUUUUCUUUUACACUAGAAAAUGUAUAUGGAGUUAAUUUUGAAUUAGGACACGCGAUUUUAUUCAAUUUCAAAUCAGUCCAAAAGAAUUUCCUCAGCUUUUUAAUAACACAGCCCGGUGUAUAUUGCAGUAGUUACAACAAUAAAAACUUCCCUUUGUUUUAAUGAGGAGAAAAAGAUGCACAUUCCCCUUCCUUAUUAUUGAUGAUGAUUUGUAAUUUUACCUCUAAUUAUCAAAAUAUCUCACAAAUAAAUAAAUUAGCUACAUUGUCCAAUUAUUUUUUAUAAAAUAUUAUGAAAUUUACAAAUUUAUGACGAGUAUAUAAUACCUUUUAGUAUGUUUUUCUUAAUUCAUACAUCUCUUUGAAGAUAAAAGUAAUUUGUUAAUCUAUUCAAUAUUAUUUUUAAAAAUAAAAUAAUAAUUUUAAUACUUGAAAACAUUAGAAUAAGAAAGAAUAUUAAACAAAUGAAUUUUAAAUCACUAAUUCUCAGAGGCAGUAGAAGAAUAAAAGGGUAAGAAAGAAAUAUAAUUUGUUCGGGCCCAUAUAAUGUUAAGCACAUAGCGUCAGUAGCUUUAGCAAGAACAACUUCUGGGAAAAGUUGCAUCAAGAAUACAAUGCCGCAUGCAUAUAAUAUUACUGCUGAAAUUAACAUCUAAGAUUCAACUGCAGUAACUUAAGAGGCGUCAGCAGAAGGUUGGGUCAUUCCAGACUUCACUAACAACUUGCUCAGAGAGUCUGGUGAGCAAACCUGGUACUUCACUUCUCCAGAGGGAAGGAGGAAGACUUCGGCCAAUUCAAGCUUAUCAGAUGUAAGACUCGUGCUGUCCAUUGUCUUGCUGAGAACCUUUAGUGCCAACUGAACUGCCUCUUCUCUUGUGAUAUCAUCCUUGUAAUCCUGCUUCAACAUUGACUGUGCUGCCUGGUUGUUUGCUCCAACAGCUGCUGCCUUCCAACCACCAUAGUUUCCACUAGGAUCACUCAUGUAAAGCUGGAAACCAAAAUUUUUGUCCCACCCUGCAAAGAGAAAUGAAACGCCAAAGGGACGGAGCCCGCCAAACUGUGUGUAACCUUGCUUGGUAUCACAAAGAGAUUGAACAAGCUGCUCAACAGGCAUUGGUUCCUGGUAUGCAUAAGUGUAGCGCUGAGCUUGAACUCUAGCUGUAUUGAUAAGGAUGUUGGCAUCAGACAUUAUGCCAGCCACAGCACAUGCUACAUGGUCGUCAAUCUUGUACAUCUUUUCCGUCGAUGUUGAAGUCUGAAGGAGUUUAGAAGUGACCUUCUUUUCACCAACCAAGACAGCCCCAUCUUUUGACAAUAUCCCGAUUGCUGUUCCAGCAUUUCCAAUUGCCUCCAUGGCAUACUCUACUUGGUACAAACGACCUUCUGGGGAGAAGAUUGUUGUGCGGCUAUCAUAUCUUCGAGACAUUUUAUACCCACUAAGUAUGAAAGGAACGCAGCCAAGUCAGCUAGAAACCAAUGAUACCUCUCAGAUGNNNNNNNNNNNNNNNNNNNNNNNNNNNNNNNNNNNNNNNNNNNNNNNNNNNNNNNNNNNNNNNNNNNNNNNNNNNNNNNNNNNNNNNNNNNNNNNNNNNNNNNNNNNNNNNNNNNNNNNNNNNNNNNNNNNNNNNNNNNNNNNNNNNNNNNNNNNNNNNNNNNNNNNNNNNNNNUUACAAGCUGAAUCUCAAUACAUCAAGUGACAAAGAGACUAAAUGAAAAGGGGAAAAAAUCAAGUAUUUGAUGCUAAUCAGACCUUUUAAACAAAGAAAAAAAAUGCAUAAAUAUAUAAAUAAAGUAAAAUAAAAUGAAGUAAAAAAGGAUGUCUCUUCAGUUCAGGUCUCCAUUAUAAUUCCGCAAUGUAAUUUCUCAGAAGAACGAAAGUUUUACAAAUUAAACAUCAUCAUUAGAGACAUCCAUAAUCAUAAUACAACAAAGAGAUCGCUACGCAUCAAAGAAAUAAAUAAAGCCCGAGAAACACACCUGGUUUUGAGCUUCGAUUAAGUGAAUAAUAGAGCACAGAUCCGACGAGUGACGAGUAAACGGGAGUUUUAUAGUAAAUUUUCAAGUCUAGCUUUCUGCCCUCUUUGUUUGUGGAUUUCAGGUUUAAAUCGUUAAUCACGCAACUUGGUCCACAAGACAGAUGCUGAUAUCUUCAGGUAAAAAAAUGUCAUUAAUUUUACUUUAAUUGAUCAAAUUGCUCAUUGUACUCUUAUGUAAUUGAGUUUCUUUAAUUUUUUAUUUUUCUUUUUUAGACAAUAUUGUUUCUUUCUUGGAUCACAAUGAAUUUUAUGGACAAGAGACCAUGUUCUGGGCCGGGCUAAAACAGCAGCGACGUCGUAUAAGGAAGAUGUAUAUGGGGUUAAUUCUGAAUUGAGACUCGCAAUUUUGUUCAGUUCCAAAUCAGCCCAAAAGAAUUUCCUCAGUUUUUUAAUAACAUAGCUCUGUAUAUAUGAAAUUUAUAAAUUUUCAUAUUGUACAUAAUUUAAUAUGGCAAGUAUAUAAUACCUUUUAGUAUGUUUUUCUUAAUUCAUACAUCUAUUUUGAAGAUAAAAGUAAUUUGUUAAUCUAUUCUAUAUUAUUUUUAAAAAAUAAAAUGAUAAUUUUAAUAUUUGAAAACAUUAAAAUAAGAAAGAAUAUUAAACAAAUGAACUCUAAAUCACUAAUUCUCAGGGGCAGUAGAAGAAUAAAAGGGUAACCAAGAAAUAUAAUUUGUUCGGGCCCAUAUAAUGUUAAGCACAUAGCAUCAGUAGCUUUAGCAAGAGUAACCUCUGGGAAAAAGUUGCAUCAAGAAUACAAUGCCGCAUGCAUAUAAUAUUACUGCUGAAAUUAACAUCUAUGAUUCAACUGCAGUAACUUAAGAGGCGUCAGCAGAAGGUUGGGUCACUCCACACUUCACUAACAACUUGCUCAGAGUCUGGCGAGCAAACCUGGUACUUCACUUCUCCAGAGGGCAGGAGGAAGACUUCGGCCAAUUCAAGCUUAUCAGAUGGAAGACUGAAUUUAUAAAAUAAAAUAAAAACUAAAUUUACAGUGAUACAAAUUAAAAUAAUAUUCUUUAGAUAUCUUU
This 5822-nucleotide long non-coding RNA is filed under the name Ricinus communis (castor bean). RNAcentral's name for it is "long non-coding RNA (RCOM_LNC000134)". Lineage: Eukaryota; Viridiplantae; Streptophyta; Magnoliopsida; Malpighiales; Euphorbiaceae. The record is from RNAcentral.